GCGAAUGCGAUCAUCGACGCGCUCUGUGGCCAUCUCGCAGAGAUUGGCGGUGAUGGCGGGGAUUAUGAUGCGGUGUUCGCGGCCAUUCACAGGCGGCGGACGAACUGGAUCCCGAUUCUCCACAUGCAGCGGUUCUACUCGAUCGCUGACGUGGCCGGCGAGCUCCAGCAUGUCUCCGAGGGCCGCCGGGCCGGAGGCGCGGCGGCGGUUGUGGAAGCGCCGGCGCUGGCGCCUAUUCCAGAAGCGGUUGAGAUCGAUUCUCCGGCUGACGACGUGGACGGAGAGAGUGGAAUGAACUGUGUGAAAGAGGAGGAAUCGGAGGAGAAUUCGUUGAGUGAUGCUUCAGAUCGGAAAGCUGGAGCUGGCGACGGAGAAGAGGGACACGGUUCUCCUAGGACUGUCCUCCAGAUAUGCUCCAACCAUGAGGAAUGUGCGGC
This 437-nucleotide unclassified non-coding RNA is filed under the name Hevea brasiliensis (rubber tree). Lineage: Eukaryota; Viridiplantae; Streptophyta; Magnoliopsida; Malpighiales; Euphorbiaceae. The record is from RNAcentral.